AAAGUCUUGGCGGAGUUUUCUAUAGUUAAUAGCUUAUGAUUUUGUCAACAAGUUUUGAUCUUUUCUAAAAAAGCUUUCUUUUUGUGGGAUUAACUUUGAUAAGGGAAUUUGGGGUUUUGGUUUUCUUUGUAAAGAUGGCAGUAGUGGGAGAUUUAGCUUUGAUGGGGACUAAGAUUAAGUUAACUGAUAAAUUUGAGAAAAGGGUAUUUGGUGUUCCACUUUCUUCAAGUACAAGAUUUAGUUUUUCUCAUGUUAAAAACUUGGAUGUCAGAAAAUUAAGAACUGCAGUCAGAGCAGUGAUGCAAGUUGAGAAAAUUCAAAGUUCAGGUGAAUUGAAAGAAGGGUCUUUAGGCUUUGAUGUUGUGUCAGAAAGGGAGCUUAAAGAAAAUGGAUUUUUGGGGUUAAGGAAGACAAAGCUUGUGUGUACAAUUGGACCAGCUUGUUCUUCUAUAGAUGAGUUGGAGAAAUUGGCUAUUGCAGGUAUGAAUGUGGCUAGGCUAAAUAUGUGUCAUAACUCAAGGGAGUGGCAUCAAGAUGUUAUUAGAAAGAUUAAGAAGUUGAAUCAAGAAAAAGGUUAUUGUGUAUCAGUUAUGAUUGAUACAGAGGGGAAUCAAAUACAAGUUGACCAUGGCUCUUCAUCUUCUGUCAAAGCAGAGGAGGAUUCAAUCUGGUACUUUACUACAGAGAAGUUUGAAGGUUCUCGUCCAUUUACAAUUCAAGCAAAUUAUGAAGGUUUUUCUGAAGGUGUCAAUUCUGGUGAUGAAAUUGUCAUUGACGGAGGAAUGGCAACUUUUGAAGUUAUAGAGAAAGUUGGUAAUGGUUUGCGCUGCAAGUGCACAGACCCCGGUCUACUUCUGCCUAGAGCUAAGUUGAGUUUUUGGAGAGAUGGAAAGCUUUUAGGAAGAGAUUAUGAUCUCCCGACUUUAUCAACAAAGGAUUGGUCAGACAUUGUAUUUGGAAUAUCUGAAGAUAU
RNAcentral lists this unclassified non-coding RNA (973 nucleotides) under Hevea brasiliensis (rubber tree). The record is from RNAcentral. Lineage: Eukaryota; Viridiplantae; Streptophyta; Magnoliopsida; Malpighiales; Euphorbiaceae.